AGUGUUUGUGUUUAUUUAUAACUCUUUAAUAAGCACUUAAGAAAUUGAAAACUAGUGCCAGUGCUACUUAUUAAUGACGUUAUUAAGGUGAAAAAUAACAUAAAACUUAUUGUGUUUACAACAAAUUAUAAUAUUUUUAGAACCUACCCUCAAAGACAAAUGACAGUGUAUUGAGCAUUUAUUAGUGUAGUAAAACAACUGUGAGCAUUUAUUAGUGUAGUAAAACAACUGUGAGCCUUUGUCGCUGUGAAAAUUUAGCCAUGAGUUCUUGUAGUGCGUGUAGCCAAUUAAUUAGCGUCACUGAAAGGUUGACAUGUUCUCAUUGCUCGCGCAACUAUCACUAUACAUGCGUGAAUUAUAAUAAAGAAAACUUCUCUAAAAUAACAACGAGGGCGAAAUCUUCCUGGAAGUGUCCUGAAUGCAAGCAACCGCGCAGAAAAGGGGAUAACAGUGAAACGCCAGUAAAGGAAGUUCUUGAAAAUGUUUCGGAAAUAGACCAC
RNAcentral lists this unclassified non-coding RNA (500 nucleotides) under Melitaea cinxia (Glanville fritillary). RNAcentral describes it as "misc RNA ENSMCXG00005008112.1". The record is from RNAcentral. Lineage: Eukaryota; Metazoa; Arthropoda; Insecta; Lepidoptera; Nymphalidae.